GUAUUGUACAAAAGGAGAGACGGUUAACACUCCCUUUGGUAAGGACGGAAUGUCCCCUGGGCCUCAACACACAUGCGUUUAAGGCAAAGCUCCGUACUCGGCGGGAAUUACCAAUUAUUUAU
Molecule: non-coding RNA, 122 nt
Filed under: Haemaphysalis longicornis (longhorned tick)
Lineage: Eukaryota; Metazoa; Arthropoda; Arachnida; Ixodida; Ixodidae
Source: RNAcentral